GAUACCUGCGCACCAGGGAAAUCCGGUGCGCGCAAGGGGAAGGCGCGAAGCAUACGGAAAGCUGCGGCAAGUACGGAAAAGCUGAGAGCAGGCUUCCAGGAAAAGCUUCUAGCACAACACGCAUCGGCCCGUACCGAAAAUGGACACACAUGGGCAAGGAGAGAAUCCUGAGGUGAGCGAGAGAACUAUAGCUAAGGAACUCUGCAAAAUGACCCCGUAACUUAGGGAGAAGGGGUGCUCCAGAAAUGGAGCCGCAGUAAAACGGCCCAAGCGACUGUUUACCAAAACACAGCUCUCUGCGAAGGCGCAAGCCGAAGUAUAGGGGGUGACGCCUGCCCGGUGCUGGAAGGUCAAGGGGAGCUGUCAGCGCAAGCGAAGCAGCGAGCCGAAGCCCCAGUAAACGGCGGCCGUAACAAUAACGGUCCUAAGGUAGCGAAAUUCCUUGUCGGGCAAGUUCCGACCCGCACGAAAGGCGUAACGAUUUGGGCGCUGUCUCAGCUGUAGACUCGGUGAAGUCUUAGUACCUGUGAAGAUGCAGGUUGCCCGCGACUAGACGGAAAGACCCCAUGGAGCUUCACUGCAGGUUGACAUUGGGCUUGGAUGCAUGAUGUACAGUAUAGGUGGGAGGCUGUGAGCCGUGCGCGCCAGCGUACGGGGAGCCGCUGUUGGGAUACCACCCUUCAUGCAUCUAGGUCCUAACCGGAGGCAACGGGCCACGGGACAGUGUCAGUCGGGCAGUUUGACUGGGGCGGUCGCCUCCCAAAGAGUAACGGAGGCGCCCAAAGAUACCCUCAGCAUGGAUGGAAACCAUGCAUAGAGUGCAAAGGCAUAAGGGUGUCUGACUGCGAGACAUACAGGUCGAGCAGGGACGAAAGUCGGGCUUAGUGAUCCGGCGGAUCCGAAUGGAAGGGCCGUCGCUCAACGGAUAAAAGCUACCCUGGGGAUAACAGGCUGAUCUCCCCCAAGAGUUCACAUCGACGGGGAGGUUUGGCACCUCGAUGUCGGCUCAUCGCAUCCUGGAGCUGAAGUCGGUUCCAAGGGUUGGGCUGUUCGCCCAUUAAAGCGGUACGCGAGCUGGGUUCAGAACGUCGUGAGACAGUUCGGUCCCUAUCUGUCGUGGGCGCAGGAGGUUUGAGGAGAGCUGCCCCUAGUACGAGAGGACCGGGGUGGACGGACCGAUGGUGCACCAGUUGUCACGCCAGUGGCACAGCUGGGCAGCCAAGUCCAGACGGGAUAAGCGCUGAAGGCAUCUAAGCGUGAAGCCCCCUCCAAGAUGAGACCUCCCAUUGGCGACAAGUAAGGCCCCUCGAAGACGACGAGGUUGAUAGGCCGCGAGUGCAAGCGCAGCGAUGUGCUUAGCGGGGCGGUACUAAUAGGCCGAGGACUUGGCCG
Molecule: ribosomal RNA, 1392 nt
Filed under: metagenome
Description: bacterial LSU rRNA
Rfam family: Bacterial large subunit ribosomal RNA
Source: RNAcentral